AAACAUUACUAUAGGAAGCAGUUCUGCUUUGGAGGCCUGCCCUGCAAGUUCCACUGCCAGAUCUCUAAAACUGUUUUAUUCCAGGCCAGUAUUGCAUACACAUGGGAGGCAGGAAGAAUUAACUGAACUUUGAAAUGAGAAGAAGUGUAGAGUAACAUAUGUGAAAAAUAUUUGUCAUUUGCGUAAACAGUGCAAAAUGGCCUGUUAACAGAAUAUUUUUUUCAGGGCUGUGACUGAAUGAAAUGUGGUUAUCCAUGUGUUGUGGCCCCAAACAAACUUCACUUGCCACACAUCCUAUUAUUCUUUUAAGAAGCACAGGGCUGGGUUCAACUAACUGGUUCCACCAGUAGAAGCCCGCACAAGCACAUCCUCUAGAACAAAAGGACUUUCCCCAAUCUCCUCCCACUGUGUGCUCCCUCACCCAAAUUAGGUUGGAGGGUUGGAAGAACCCUCAGAGCAUCAUAGAGAAGAAGGUAGAUUGUUCCAUCAGGCAAACAAAUGCUUGCACUGAUAGAGCAAUCUGCUUAGCAUUAUGUUUAAUUCUCCCACAGACUUGACUGCUAAUAAUGCAUUUAGCUUCCCAUCUAGUUUCGCCCUCAGGGAGCUAUCCAACCUGCGCCAGUCUUGGCUAGCUCCUCAAGAGUACUGAAUAAGCCUCAAACCAAGCCACACCAUUGCCUGUGUAGCACAUUAUUAAGUGUGUUCUCGGUUCAUUCAUGGAAUCAGCAGGAGUGAUACAAUUUGGUUAGCUUAAUCAGGAAAACUUCUCUUUUAAUAUUUGGAAAGUUCCAAUUACUCAAUUUGUCACUUGGCUUUUACACAAAUGUGUCACAAUCUCAUUAAAUUUCUGCCACUGGACUUUAUUGCUUUAAUAAUCUGUUGUAAUAUUUAUGAAAUGCUUUGAUGGAUCUUAUUGGAGCCAUCAUGUUAUCCAUCACAAAAUACAUUAUAUUACAAAACAAUAAAUCAAUCACUUUGAAAAAGGCUAAAACAAUGAAACUAAAAUUUGAGAUGCAUAUAUCAUUAAUAGGAAAAAGAUUUUAGCUGGCUUGCAAUGAAGGUUUUUUUUCUUUUUCUUUUGGUUCCUGAUGCCAAUCUAACACCUGUUGUUGUCAUAAAAAGCAAUCAAACUUUCUUUGUCUUUACAAAUACCUGUUUUUCAAAGCCAUAAAAUUAUGUGAUAUAAGACUACUCAGGAAGGGAUAAAUAGAAUUAAUUGUUAUUUGGUUAAAGCUAUGUUCCAUCUUUCUUCCAUCAUAGAACUCAAAAGCAGCACAAACAGAGUUUACUAGACUGCCUGCCAUCAAGAUAUUAGCAGAUCCACACCUGCUUAUUUUCAGCAAACCUGCUGCAUUCAGAUCGCACUCAUAAAUAUAUUUCCCCCACCCUAUCUACACCUUGGGAAUGACGUCAACUGGC
This is a non-coding RNA of Podarcis lilfordi (Lilford's wall lizard), 1419 nucleotides long. The record is from the annotation of a GenBank genome assembly. Lineage: Eukaryota; Metazoa; Chordata; Lepidosauria; Squamata; Lacertidae.